UACGUAGGGUGCGAGCGUUUGUCCGGAAUUAUUGGGCGUAAAGAGCUCGUAGGCGGUUUGUCGCGUCUGCUGUGAAAACUGGAGGCUCAACCUCCAGCCUGCAGUGGGUACGGGCAGACUAGAGUGCGGUAGGGGGAGAUUGGAAUUCCUGGUGUAGCGGUGGAAUGCGCAGAUAUCAGGAGGAACACCGAUGGCGAAGGCAGAUCUCUGGGCCGUAACUGACGCUGAGGAGCGAAAAGCAUGGGGGAGCGAACAGG
Molecule: ribosomal RNA, 257 nt
Filed under: uncultured bacterium
Lineage: Bacteria
Description: partial 16S ribosomal RNA
Rfam family: Bacterial small subunit ribosomal RNA
Source: RNAcentral